GUGGGGAAUUUUGGACAAUGGGGGCAACCCUGAUCCAGCCAUUCCGCGUGAGUGAAGAAGGCCUUCGGGUUGUAAAGCUCUUUCGGCAGGAACGAAACGGUGAGCUCUAACAUAGCUCGCUAAUGACGGUACCUGAAGAAGAAGCACCGGCUAACUACGUGCCAGCAGCCGCGGUAAUACGUAGGGUGCGAGCGUUAAUCGGAAUUACUGGGCGUAAAGCGUGCGCAGGCGGUUGUGUAAGACAGGUGUGGAAUCCCCGGGCUUAACCUGGGAACUGCGCUUGUGACUGCACGGCUAGAGUAUGGCAGAGGGGGGUGGAAUUCCACGUGUAGCAGUGAAAUGCGUAGAGAUGUGGAGGAACACCGAUGGCGAAGGCAGCCCCCUGGGCCAAUACUGACGCUCAUGCACGAAAGCGUGGGGAGCAAACAGGAUUAGAAACCCUUGUAGUCC
This 450-nucleotide ribosomal RNA is filed under the name uncultured bacterium. Its description in RNAcentral is "partial 16S ribosomal RNA". It matches the Rfam family "Bacterial small subunit ribosomal RNA", at positions 354 to 796 of the family's 1533-position model. The record is from RNAcentral.